AGAGCAGGACAGAUGACCGCCGCUUUGCCCUGUGGCGGAGGGGAGGAAAGUCCGGGCUCCAUAGGACAGGAUGCUGGAUAACGUCCAGUCCCGGUGACGGGAAGGAAAGUGCAACAGAAAGGAAACCGCCCGAUAUGAAUGGCCUUGUGCCACUCCGUCGGGUAAGGGUGAAAGGGUGAGGUAAGAGCUCACCAGUCCCGCCGGUGACGGCGGGAGCUAGGUAAACCCCAUCCGGAGCAAGACCAAAUAAGGGGAGUUUGAGGGUGGUCCGCCCGAAUCCCCGGGUAGGUCGCUUGAUCUUGACGGUAACGUCAGGGCUAGAUGAAUGGUCAUCGUCCCGAAUCGCGCAUUGCGUCCCUUCGAGAAACAGAACCCGGCUUAUGGCCUGCUCUAACA
This 396-nucleotide RNase P RNA is filed under the name Deltaproteobacteria bacterium. RNAcentral's name for it is "RNase P RNA component class A". It matches the Rfam family "Bacterial RNase P class A". Rfam says of the family: Ribonuclease P (RNase P) is a ubiquitous endoribonuclease, found in archaea, bacteria and eukarya as well as chloroplasts and mitochondria. Its best characterised activity is the generation of mature 5'-ends of tRNAs by cleaving the 5'-leader elements of precursor-tRNAs. Cellular RNase Ps are ribonucleoproteins. Lineage: Bacteria; Pseudomonadati; Myxococcota; Myxococcia. The record is from RNAcentral.